Molecule: non-coding RNA, 25 nt
Filed under: Mus musculus (house mouse)
Lineage: Eukaryota; Metazoa; Chordata; Mammalia; Rodentia; Muridae
Source: RNAcentral
UGAAGACUGAAGUGUGGACACUAUG